UCUGGUGGCGAUAGCGAAGAGGUCACACCCGUUCCCAUACCGAACACGGAAGUUAAGCUCUUUAGCGCCAAUGGUAGUUGGGACUUUGUCUCUGUGAGAGUAGGACGUUGCCAGGC
This 116-nucleotide ribosomal RNA is filed under the name Priestia megaterium. The record is from RNAcentral. RNAcentral also lists the same sequence under 1 other name. Lineage: Bacteria; Bacillati; Bacillota; Bacilli; Caryophanales; Bacillaceae.